RNAcentral lists this ribosomal RNA (502 nucleotides) under Vermamoeba vermiformis. Its description in RNAcentral is "SSU rRNA". It matches the Rfam family "Eukaryotic small subunit ribosomal RNA", at positions 1215 to 1719 of the family's 1831-position model. The record is from RNAcentral. Lineage: Eukaryota; Tubulinea; Echinamoebida; Vermamoebidae.
UUACGAGGUCAGGACACUGUGAGGAUUGACAGAUUGAAAGCUCUUUCUUGAUUCAGUGGGUGGUGGUGCAUGGCCGUUCUUAGUUGGUGGAGUGAUUUGUCUGGUUAAUUCCGUUAACGAACGAGACCUUAACCUGCUAAAUAGUCACGCGAACCGGUCCGCAAGGGCUCAAAGUUCGCGGCUCGACUUCUUAGAGGGACUAUUCGCACCCGCCAGCGAAUGGAAGUUUGAGGCAAUAACAGGUCUGUGAUGCCCUUAGAUGUUCUCGGCCGCACGCGCGUUACACUGACGGAGUCAACGAGCGUUUUUCCUUGCCCGAUAGGGCCGGGUAACCUCCUGAAACUCCGUCGUGAUGGGGAUAGAUCGUUGCAAUUAUUGAUCUUGAACGAGGAAUUCCUAGUAAGCGCGAGUCAUCAACUCGCGCUGAUUACGUCCCCGCCCUUUGUACACACCGCCCGUCGCUCCUACCGAUUGAACGGUCCGGCGAGAACUCCGGAUGGUC